CCGGAUUAGAUACCCCGAGUAGUCCCAGCUGUAAACGCUGCCAACUAGAUGUUGCGUAUUCUUCGUGAAUGCGCAGUGUCGGAGCGAAAGUGUUAAGUUGGCCGCCUGGGAAGUAUAGUCGCAAGACCGAAACUUAAAGGAAUUGGCGGGGGAGCACUACAACGGGUGCGGCGUGCGGUUUAAUCUAACUCCACGCAGAGAAUCUCACCAGCAGCGACGGCAGGAUGAAGGUCAGAUUGAAGGUUUUACCUGACGAGCCGAGAGGUAUUGCAUGGCCGCCGUCAGCUCGUACCGUGAGGUGUCCGGUUAAGUCCGGCAACGAGCAAGACCUGUGCCCACAAUUGCUAACUGGCUUCGUGACAGAGCACAUUGUGGGGACUGCCUCCGAAAGGGGGAGGAAGGUGCAGGCAACGGUAGGUCUGUAUGGUCCGAAUCUGCUGGGCUACACGCGCGCAACAAUGAUAGGGACAAUGGGAUGCGACACCGAAAGGUGGAGCUAAUCCUCUAAACCCUAUCCUAGUUCAGAUCGAGGCUUGUAAUUUAGCCUCG
RNAcentral lists this ribosomal RNA (549 nucleotides) under uncultured euryarchaeote. RNAcentral describes it as "bacterial SSU rRNA". It matches the Rfam family "Archaeal small subunit ribosomal RNA", at positions 724 to 1276 of the family's 1478-position model. Lineage: Archaea; Methanobacteriati; Methanobacteriota. The record is from RNAcentral.